This 64-nucleotide transfer RNA is filed under the name Roseivirga ehrenbergii. It matches the Rfam family "tRNA". From Rfam's summary of the family: Transfer RNA (tRNA) molecules are approximately 80 nucleotides in length. The record is from Rfam by way of RNAcentral. Lineage: Bacteria; Pseudomonadati; Bacteroidota; Cytophagia; Cytophagales; Roseivirgaceae.
UUCGAGAUAACUCAGUGGUUAGAGUGACACAUCAAUCAUGUGGGUUCGAAUCCCACUCCCUGAA